CCUACGGGAGGCUGCAGUGAGGAAUAUUGGUCAAUGGCCGGAAGGCUGAACCAGCCAAGCCGCGUGAUGGACGAAGGUGCCAAGCAUUGUAAACUUCUUUUGUCAAGGGACAAAAUCAGGCUCGAGAGCCUGACCGAGGGUACUUGAAGAAAAAGCAUCGGCUAACUCCGUGCCAGCAGCCGCGGUAAUACGGAGGCUGCGAGCGUUAUCCGGAUUUAUGGGGUUUAAGGGGUGCAUAGGCGGGCUGUUAAGUCAGCGGUAAAAGCCCGGGGCUCAACCCCGGCGAGCCGUUGAAACUGGCUGUCUUGAGAUGUCGAGAGGUAUGCGGAAUGCGCGGUGUAGCGGUGAAAUGCUUAGAUAUCGCGCAGAACCCCGAUUGCGAAGGCAGCGUACCGGCUCCACACUGACGCUGAGGCUCGAAAGCAUGGGGAUCAAACAGGAUUAGAUACCCGUGUAGUC
Molecule: ribosomal RNA, 459 nt
Filed under: uncultured bacterium
Lineage: Bacteria
Description: partial 16S ribosomal RNA
Rfam family: Bacterial small subunit ribosomal RNA
Source: RNAcentral